AUCAUGCCAGUGUCCAUUACUUCAAGAACAAAGACAUGAACAAGACUGAAGAGACCUUUGAGAUGCAACAUCCAUCUGAUGCCAAAAGAUCUGAGGACGUGAUCUACAGCUCAGUCAAAUGAAGAACAUGUGGUCGAGCCACAUCCUAUUGAUGAUUAAGAGAGACCUGGAUUUGAGUCCAGCCCAGGUCAUGUUCCCAGCUCCCUCUCCUCUUGAUUUCAUCUAUUUACACAUUUAUGGGACUGUUCUGCUGUUUAGACAUUAAUGGCUUUCAGUUUAAAAUCUGAAUUGAUUGUGAAUAUCAUAAGCACACACUGCCUUCACUUAGACCUGUAAUAGUCAAAGGCCUUUUAGCUCUCGCUUUGUACAGUCAAUGUAGAACAGAUGUUUUCUUUUGUGUGUUCAUACUGUGUGAUUUUAUUGAUAAAUAAAUUCAGUUUUAACAUUGUCAGAAAGAUUUUACCAGUAACUGCUGCUCUGAUCUAUUUGCCUGUAAAUAGCCUAGCCAAGUUAUAAUUAUUUCCAGCUACCUGCUUGUAAGACAUAUUUCUUUCCAGAUAUCUGUUUUUAUUUUGUUAUUGAGAGUACUGAUGUUGUUAGUGACAUUUACACAAAAGCGAUCACUUGUAACCAUAAUUUUAACCGUUUUAAAUAAAGUUACAAAAAAUGUCAAUGGAAGACAGCAAGCUUUACAUUGUAAGUUGAUGAGUUGAUUUACUUGCCUCUGGUCUUGGAGCCUUUUAGAUGGAUGCUGAGGCUUUUUAGGAUGGGUAGAA
This is a long non-coding RNA of Labeo rohita (rohu), 776 nucleotides long. RefSeq lists it as uncharacterized. Lineage: Eukaryota; Metazoa; Chordata; Actinopteri; Cypriniformes; Cyprinidae. The transcript is spliced from 3 exons. The record is from RefSeq and is a predicted model, not a curated record.